This 1208-nucleotide ribosomal RNA is filed under the name Serratia marcescens. RNAcentral describes it as "partial 23S ribosomal RNA". It matches the Rfam family "Bacterial large subunit ribosomal RNA", at positions 1640 to 2833 of the family's 2925-position model. The record is from RNAcentral. RNAcentral also lists the same sequence under 1 other name. Lineage: Bacteria; Pseudomonadati; Pseudomonadota; Gammaproteobacteria; Enterobacterales; Yersiniaceae.
AAUCGUACCCCAAACCGACACAGGUGGUCAGGUAGAGAAUACCAAGGCGCUUGAGAGAACUCGGGUGAAGGAACUAGGCAAAAUGGUGCCGUAACUUCGGGAGAAGGCACGCUGGCAUGUAGGUGAAGUCCUUCGCGGAUGGAGCUGAAGCCAGUCGAAGAUACCAGCUGGCUGCAACUGUUUAAUAAAAACACAGCACUGUGCAAACACGAAAGUGGACGUAUACGGUGUGACGCCUGCCCGGUGCUGGAAGGUUAAUUGAUGGGGUCAGCCGCAAGGCGAAGCUCUUGAUCGAAGCCCCAGUAAACGGCGGCCGUAACUAUAACGGUCCUAAGGUAGCGAAAUUCCUUGUCGGGUAAGUUCCGACCUGCACGAAUGGCGUAAUGAUGGCCAGGCUGUCUCCACCCGAGACUCAGUGAAAUUGAACUCGCUGUGAAGAUGCAGUGUACCCGCGGCAAGACGGAAAGACCCCGUGAACCUUUACUAUAGCUUGACACUGAACAUUGAGCCUUGAUGUGUAGGAUAGGUGGGAGGCUUUGAAGCGUGGACGCCAGUCUGCGUGGAGCCAUCCUUGAAAUACCACCCUUUAAUGUUUGAUGUUCUAACUCGGCCCCAUAAUCUGGGGUGAGGACAGUGUCUGGUGGGUAGUUUGACUGGGGCGGUCUCCUCCCAAAGAGUAACGGAGGAGCACGAAGGUUAGCUAAUCACGGUCGGACAUCGUGAGGUUAGUGCAAAGGCAUAAGCUAGCUUGACUGCGAGAGUGACGGCUCGAGCAGGUACGAAAGUAGGUCUUAGUGAUCCGGUGGUUCUGAAUGGAAGGGCCAUCGCUCAACGGAUAAAAGGUACUCCGGGGAUAACAGGCUGAUACCGCCCAAGAGUUCAUAUCGACGGCGGUGUUUGGCACCUCGAUGUCGGCUCAUCACAUCCUGGGGCUGAAGUAGGUCCCAAGGGUAUGGCUGUUCGCCAUUUAAAGUGGUACGCGAGCUGGGUUUAGAACGUCGUGAGACAGUUCGGUCCCUAUCUGCCGUGGGCGUUGGAAGAUUGAGAGGGGUUGCUCCUAGUACGAGAGGACCGGAGUGAACGCACCACUGGUGUUCGGGUUGUCAUGCCAAUGGCAUUGCCCGGUAGCUAAGUGCGGAAAAGAUAAGCGCUGAAAGCAUCUAAGCGCGAAACUUGCCUCAAGAUGAGUCUUCCCUGGGCCUUUAAGG